RNAcentral lists this ribosomal RNA (305 nucleotides) under uncultured bacterium. RNAcentral describes it as "partial 16S ribosomal RNA". It matches the Rfam family "Bacterial small subunit ribosomal RNA", at positions 508 to 807 of the family's 1533-position model. The record is from RNAcentral.
ACAGCAGCCGCCGCGGUAAUACGUAGGGUGCGAGCGUUAAUCGGAAUUACUGGGCGUAAAGCGUGCGCAGGCGGUUAUAUAAGACAGAUGUGAAAUCCCCGGGCUCAACCUGGGACCUGCAUUUGUGACUGUAUAGCUAGAGUACGGUAGAGGGGGAUGGAAUUCCGCGUGUAGCAGUGAAAUGCGUAGAUAUGCGGAGGAACACCGAUGGCGAAGGCAAUCCCCUGGGCCUGUACUGACGCUCAUGCACGAAAGCGUGGGGAGCAAACAGGAUUAGAGACCCCCGUAGUCCCUGUCUCUUAUAC